UCGAUUGUACGAGUCCAUGAAUCGUGUGGUGUGCUCUCUGAAUUAUUAACAAUUCAGAACAAGUAGCAUUUGUCAUCUGUAUCCUUAUCUGUGGCUGGCAAUUAUAGUUAGCUUGUGUCACUUGUCUGCAUGCACGUCCACAGUCGCUAUGAAGAUAAUGUGCCAUGUGUCUUGUGUUUUAGGUGUGAUGAUGCUACAGUUAUUCGUAAAAGGAUUGUGCUAUUCCUUUGAAAUUGCUGGAAUGUGCUUCUGGUUCUCUACACAGAAGAAACCAUUCCACAGGGCGGAGGAAGCCUGCAAAUAUAGGAAUGGAAAGUUGGUCCAGCUUGACGACCAGGAGGUGUUCGAGAUGAUCACGGAAAGGUUCUCAUGACCAAGCAUCAAUUCUGGGUUGGUCUGACCUUAGAUAGGGUGGGAAGACAGGCUUUCAGAUGGGGCAACAACGCUACGACCAACAAAACAAACUGGCUACCCAAAGAGCCGAAUUAAACUGGUGGCUGUGUGCGCCUGUGUCGAAUAUAUGGAGAAAGGCAAUUCGAAAGACAUGGUUUGGCCGAUCAAUCAUGUGGAACAAAAUACCAUUUCAUUUGCCAGAAACGGUAUGAAUUUGGUAAGCAGGACAUUUACAGCAUUCCUCGUCAUCUUGAACAGCAUCUGUGUCGUGACAGUCGACAAACUGUGACUGGUUUGGCAGUGAUCACAUUUGAUUUGAGAUAAUAAUCAUGAUGUUUAAUCACUGGAUUGUCUGGUCCAGUCAUUGACCGGCAUCAUAUAGCUGGACUAUUGCUGAGUGUAGCGUUAAACAACAAACAAGUCAAUAACCCAGGACUUAGAAAACAUGUUCUUCUGGAAUCACUUGAAAGACGUCGUAUAUGCAUACAUUCGGCGUGCGUGUGUAUUCUAAAAAUGUGUAUACAUGUCAAUGGCUAUAAGCUGUCCAGUACAUCGUCAUAAACGACAUUCAACACGG
This is a long non-coding RNA of Haliotis rufescens (red abalone), 970 nucleotides long. RefSeq lists it as uncharacterized. The record is from RefSeq and is a predicted model, not a curated record. The transcript is spliced from 3 exons. Lineage: Eukaryota; Metazoa; Mollusca; Gastropoda; Lepetellida; Haliotidae.